Molecule: unclassified non-coding RNA, 335 nt
Filed under: uncultured fungus
Lineage: Eukaryota; Fungi
Description: partial contains 5.8S ribosomal RNA and internal transcribed spacer 2
Rfam family: 5.8S ribosomal RNA (bases 1-133)
Source: RNAcentral
UGGUUCUGGCAUCGAUGAAGAACGCAGCGAAAUGCGAUAAGUAGUGCGAAUUGCAGAAUUCAGCGAGUCAUCGAAUCUUUGAACGCACAUUGCGCCCUUUGGCAUUCCUUAGGGCAUGCCUGUUCGAGCGUCAUCUAAACCUUCAAGCGCAGCUUGGUGUUGGGCGCCUUGUCGCCGCCUCUGGGCGCGCGACUCGCCUCGAAAGCAUUGGCGGCCCGCGCCAUGGGGGAGGGGAUCGAGCGCAGCAGAUCGCGCUUCGGCUCCUCCCGCCGGCGUGGGCGUCCAGCGAGCACACCCGCGAUUUUGACCUCGGAUCAGGUAGGGAUACCCGCUGA